Molecule: ribosomal RNA, 199 nt
Filed under: uncultured bacterium
Lineage: Bacteria
Description: partial 16S ribosomal RNA
Rfam family: Bacterial small subunit ribosomal RNA
Source: RNAcentral
ACGCUCGACACCUACGGGUGGCAGCAGUGGGGAAUAUUGCACAAUGGGGGAAACCCGUGAUGCAGCGACGCCACGUGGAGGAAGAAGGUCUUCGGAUUGUAAACUCCUGUUGUUGGGGAAAAAGAGGAUGGUACCCAACAAGGAAGUGACGGCUAACUACGUGCCUGCAGCCGCGGUAAUCUGAGCGGGCUGGCAAGGC